Molecule: transfer RNA, 73 nt
Filed under: Stegodyphus mimosarum
Lineage: Eukaryota; Metazoa; Arthropoda; Arachnida; Araneae; Eresidae
Rfam family: tRNA
About the family: Transfer RNA (tRNA) molecules are approximately 80 nucleotides in length. Their secondary structure includes four short double-helical elements and three loops (D, anti-codon, and T loops).
Source: Rfam by way of RNAcentral
GCCUUCGUGGUGUAGUGGUGAGUACGCUCGAUGCGUAACUGAGAGGUCCGUGGUUCGAUUCUCGGCGAAGGCG